GUGAAGCAAGACUCCAAGGAAGAGAGAUUGACGCAUCGGGAGCGAAGAACAGAAACGAUGGAUGGUUACGCUGCUUGGGUCUCGCCACGUUCGAAUUGGCAAAGUUCCGAAUUUGUCGCUGUAUUUUGUACGCUUGUGCGCUCGUCAUUUGCCGUCAUCGCGCGGAGAUAUUUGCGCUGGAUGUCUUUCACUUCGUGUACAAAACUCUGCACGCUGCGGCAUCGAAGGAGUUGUCCUGUGUUUGGGUGCACGUAUGCGCUUGGACACGGAUAUAUCCUGCUUGCCCUCAACGGGUGUUCAACAGUCUACGCGCACUCGUAACUUGCUCAUGAGGCAAGUUGCUGUUGUGCUGGAGCUGAGAAGAGGUCUGCUGCCUGCAAUGGGUCCAUCUCUCUCAAGUUAUCGCAGUAUUGUAGCUCUCAAAGUUCAAAAAAGUAUGGUGGAAGCUGUUGCCAAGGUUCCGACCAGAAAAGACAGCCAGUAUAAAAGGGUCCACACCACUGAUCUCUACUACAG
RNAcentral lists this long non-coding RNA (516 nucleotides) under Dermacentor andersoni. RNAcentral's name for it is "uncharacterized LOC126527733". The record is from RNAcentral. Lineage: Eukaryota; Metazoa; Arthropoda; Arachnida; Ixodida; Ixodidae.